RNAcentral lists this ribosomal RNA (377 nucleotides) under uncultured bacterium. RNAcentral describes it as "bacterial SSU rRNA". It matches the Rfam family "Bacterial small subunit ribosomal RNA", at positions 521 to 896 of the family's 1533-position model. The record is from RNAcentral.
UAAGACAGAGGGUGCAAACGUUGCUCGGAAUUACUGGGCGUAAAGCGCGUGUAGGCGGUUACGCGAGUCAGGUGUGAAAGCCCGGGGCUCAACCCCGGAAGUGCACUUGAUACUACGUAGCUGGAGUCCUGUAGAGGAGAGCGGAAUUCCCGGUGUAGAGGUGAAAUUCGUAGAUAUCGGGAGGAACACCAGUGGCGAAGGCGGCUCUCUGGACAGGUACUGACGCUGAGACGCGAAAGCGUGGGUAGCAAACAGGAUUAGAUACCCUGGUAGUCCACGCUGUAAACGAUGAGAACUGGGUGUUGCGGGUAUUGACCCCCGCGGUGCCGAAGCCAACGCGUUAAGUUCUCCGCCUGGGAAGUACGGCCGCAAGGCUA